Molecule: long non-coding RNA, 763 nt
Organism: Xyrauchen texanus (razorback sucker)
Lineage: Eukaryota; Metazoa; Chordata; Actinopteri; Cypriniformes; Catostomidae
Exons: 5
Source: RefSeq, a predicted model, not a curated record
CACCACCACCACCUCAACACUCAGUGCACCAGUCAACACCACCACCACCUCAACACUCAGUGCACCAGUCAACACCACCACCACCUCAACACUUGAGUCCAGUGUUUGACAUUAAUAUGGGCUUCCCCUAUUCACAUGCCAGCGGUGGUGGAGAGCCUGGAGGUCACCUCCUCUUCAAGCCAACUUUCAGAGUUGGCCAUGAAACAGGGCCAAUUCCUUGCACACCGGCUCAGCUACAUGGCCUAUUGCUUUUGGAAAACCUAAAGCAGCAGGUUGCCCAACUCGCCACCACCGUGAACCUGCUCAUGGCCAAGGUCAAUAACGGCCUCCAACCAGCAGCCUUUGAGUGGUCCGGGGAAUUUCAAUUCCCCCUGAAAUCAGAUGCAGAGCUGGACCGCUUUGAGGCCUAGCUGGCGGACCCUGCCAACGAUAGGCAGAAACAUGCCCUUGUGAAUACCCUGUCUGCUGUCGGGGGUGUGGAUUUGAAGAAGGUGACAUGGAACAUUCUGUCAUACCUGUUUUCCUGCCCCCUUUCUCGAACAAUUAAUUGGAAGGGUGUGAACAAGAAGAGGGCCUUCCACAGGAUGGCAUCACGUACCCUCCUCAGCCGUGCAGUGCGCAAAUGCGCACUGACAGCCAGUGCAACAGAAGCAGAAAUAUGGAGGCAUUCAAUUAGGUGGUUUGCCCUUUCGGCGGACAGGAGCGGAGGGCGCCAGGAGAGACUGGCGCGUCAGCAGCAGGAGCAACAGCAACAGUUGCCACA